Molecule: ribosomal RNA, 551 nt
Filed under: uncultured bacterium
Lineage: Bacteria
Description: bacterial SSU rRNA
Rfam family: Bacterial small subunit ribosomal RNA
Source: RNAcentral
CUUACNGUACUCCGAAUGCAUCUAGAUUAGAGUUGAUCAUGGCUCAGAGUGAACGCUGGCGGUAGGCCUAACACAUGCAAGUCGAACGGCAGCACAGGAGAGCUUGCUCUCUGGGUGGCGAGUGGCGGACGGGUGAGGAAUACAUCGGAAUCUACUCUGUCGUGGGGGAUAACGUAGGGAAACUUACGCUAAUACCGCAUACGACCUACGGGUGAAAGCAGGGGAUCUUCGGACCUUGCGCGAUUGAAUGAGCCGAUGUCGGAUUAGCUAGUUGGCGGGGUAAAGGCCCACCAAGGCGACGAUCCGUAGCUGGUCUGAGAGGAUGAUCAGCCACACUGGAACUGAGACACGGUCCAGACUCCUACGGGAGGCAGCAGUGGGGAAUAUUGGACAAUGGGCGCAAGCCUGAUCCAGCCAUACCGCGUGGGUGAAGAAGGCCUUCGGGUUGUAAAGCCCUUUUGUUGGGAAAGAAAUCCAGCUGGCUAAUACCUGGUUGGGAUGACGGUACCCAAAGAAUAAGCACCGGCUAACUUCGUUGCCAGCAGCCGCGG